AGUGAACGCUGGCGAUAGGCCUAACACAUGCAAGUCGAACGGCAGCACAGUAAGAGCUUGCUCUUACGGGUGGCGAGUGGCGGACGGGUGAGGAAUACAUCGGAAUCUACUUUUUCGUGGGGGAUAACGUAGGGAAACUUACGCUAAUACCGCAUACGACCUACGGGUGAAAGCAGGGGAUCUUCGGACCUUGCGCGAUUGAAUGAGCCGAUGUCGGAUUAGCUAGUUGGCGGGGUAAAGGCCCACCAAGGCGACGAUCCAUAGCUGGUCUGAGAGGAUGAUCAGCCACACUGGAACUGAGACACGGUCCAGACUCCUACGGGAGGCAGCAGUGGGGAAUAUUGGACAAUGGGCGCAAGCCUGAUCCAGCCAUACCGCGUGGGUGAAGAAGGCCUUCGGGUUGUAAAGCCCUUUUGUUGGGAAAGAAAAGCAGCAGGUUAAUACCCCGCUGUUCUGACGGUACCCAAAGAAUAAGCACCGGCUAACUUCGUG
RNAcentral lists this ribosomal RNA (492 nucleotides) under uncultured bacterium. RNAcentral's name for it is "partial 16S ribosomal RNA". It matches the Rfam family "Bacterial small subunit ribosomal RNA", at positions 29 to 507 of the family's 1533-position model. The record is from RNAcentral.